This 253-nucleotide ribosomal RNA is filed under the name uncultured bacterium. RNAcentral describes it as "partial 16S ribosomal RNA". It matches the Rfam family "Bacterial small subunit ribosomal RNA", at positions 524 to 776 of the family's 1533-position model. The record is from RNAcentral.
UACAGAGGGUGCAAGCGUUAAUCGGAAUUACUGGGCGUAAAGCGUGCGUAGACGGUUACAUAAGUCGGGUGUGAAAGCCCCGGGCUCAACCUGGGAAUUGCAUUCGAGACUGCGUAGCUAGAGUAUGGGAGAGGGUAGUGGAAUUCCCGGUGUAGCGGUGAAAUGCGUAGAUAUCGGGAGGAACAUCAGUGGCGAAGGCGGCUACCUGGCCCAAUACUGACACUCAGGUGCGACAGCGUGGGGAGCAAACAGG